This is a long non-coding RNA of Coregonus clupeaformis (lake whitefish), 211 nucleotides long. RefSeq lists it as uncharacterized. The record is from RefSeq and is a predicted model, not a curated record. Lineage: Eukaryota; Metazoa; Chordata; Actinopteri; Salmoniformes; Salmonidae. The transcript is spliced from 3 exons.
GAGAGAGAGAGUCAGUUUUGGGAUUGUCACAGGGUUGGGAAGGAGCUGCUCCUUCGUUGUGUGUGUGUGUGAGGGGUACUUUAACUAAGGAACAUAGGAGAGGACAUACUGUAUAAACCUACAAUAUGAGCAGAACCACCUUCUUUGAGGUGGAGGUUCUGGAUGGCAGGACCAGGCAACAGCUGUGUUUUCUAGAUAAGGUGGAGCCCCA